UUCUAUUUAGUCUGCAGCUGGCAACUGGCUCUUCCGACCUUCUUAUGUUGACGCCAUGUUAAAACAGGUCACUGAUCAAACAUGCAAUGAUACAAACAACUGCUCAUGAGUAUAUCUUAUUAACUACAUUUUUUCUUUUCGCAGUGAUUCAGUGGUUAUUAAACUGUCAUCACGAUAAUAAGGACAUCUGAAAUGUGAAAGAAUGCCAUCACUCUGUUGAAUCACCACUGAAGAUGCUACAUAGCGAAGGCACAAGCUCUCUGCGUUGAAUUUUCCUAUGCGUAUCCACGCAAAGAUAGUUAAUAAAGAAUGUGAAAGCUCUA
Molecule: long non-coding RNA, 323 nt
Organism: Orbicella faveolata
Lineage: Eukaryota; Metazoa; Cnidaria; Anthozoa; Scleractinia; Merulinidae
Source: RefSeq, a predicted model, not a curated record